RNAcentral lists this ribosomal RNA (292 nucleotides) under uncultured bacterium. Its description in RNAcentral is "partial 16S ribosomal RNA". It matches the Rfam family "Bacterial small subunit ribosomal RNA", at positions 505 to 796 of the family's 1533-position model. The record is from RNAcentral.
GUGUCAGCAGCCGCGGUAAUACGUAGGGCGCAAGCGUUGUCCGGAAUUAUUGGGCGUAAAGAGCUCGUAGGCGGUUUGUCGCGUCGGGUGUGAAAGCUCAGGGCUCAACCCUGAGUCUGCAUCCGAUACGGGCAGACUAGAGGCAGGUAGGGGAGAACGGAAUUCCUGGUGUAGCGGUGAAAUGCGCAGAUAUCAGGAGGAACACCGGUGGCGAAGGCGGUUCUCUGGGCCUGUACUGACGCUGAGGAGCGAAAGCGUGGGGAGCGAACAGGAUUAGAUACCCCAGUAGUCC